This 469-nucleotide ribosomal RNA is filed under the name uncultured soil bacterium. Its description in RNAcentral is "bacterial SSU rRNA". It matches the Rfam family "Bacterial small subunit ribosomal RNA", at positions 26 to 486 of the family's 1533-position model. The record is from RNAcentral.
AGAGUGAACGCUGGCGGUAGGCCUAACACAUGCAAGUCGAACGGCAGCACAGGAGAGCUUGCUCUCUGGGUGGCGAGUGGCGGACGGGUGAGGAAUACAUCGGAAUCUACCUUUUCGUGGGGGAUAACGUAGGGAAACUUACGCUAAUACCGCAUAAGACCUUCGGGUGAAAGCCGGGGGACCUUCGGGCCUGGCGCGGAUAGAUGAGCCGAUGUCGGAUUAGCUUGUUGGCGGGGUAAAAGCCCACCAAGGCGACGAUCCGUAGCUGGUCUGAGAGGAUAAUCAGCCACACUGGAACUGAGACACGGUCCAGACUCCUACGGGAGGCAGCAGUGGGGAAUAUUGGACAAUGGGCGCAAGCCUGAUCCAGCCGAUACCGCGUGGUGAAGAAGGCGUCGGUUGUAAGUACCUUCGUUGGUAAGAAUACCGCCGACUAAUACUACAGUAGGAGUGACGGGUACCAAACGAA